This 375-nucleotide ribosomal RNA is filed under the name uncultured prokaryote. RNAcentral's name for it is "bacterial SSU rRNA". It matches the Rfam family "Bacterial small subunit ribosomal RNA", at positions 524 to 896 of the family's 1533-position model. The record is from RNAcentral.
UACGUAGGGGGCGAGCGUUGUCCGAAGUUACUGGGCGUAAAGCGCGCGUAGGCGGUCUUCCAAGUCUGGGGUGAAAGGUUCAACGCUCAACGUGAACAGUGCCUUGGAUACUGGGAGACUUGAGUCUGGGAGGGGGAAGGGGAAUUCCUGGUGUAGCGGUGAAAUGCGUAGAUAUCAGGAGGAACACCGGUGGCGAAGGCGCCUUCCUGGCCUAAGACUGACGCUGAGGUGCGAAAGCGUGGGGAGCAAACGGGAUUAGAUACCCCGGUAGUCCACGCCGUAAACGAUGAGUGCUAGGUGUCGGGGGUAUCGACCCCCCCGGUGCCGUCGCUAACGCAUUAAGCACUCCGCCUGGGGAGUACGGCCGCAAGGUUG